This 498-nucleotide ribosomal RNA is filed under the name uncultured bacterium. RNAcentral describes it as "partial 16S ribosomal RNA". It matches the Rfam family "Bacterial small subunit ribosomal RNA", at positions 30 to 523 of the family's 1533-position model. The record is from RNAcentral.
AUUGAACGCUGGCGGCAUGCCUUACACAUGCAAGUCGAACGGUAACGGGCCUUCGGGUGCCGACGAGUGGCGAACGGGUGAGUAAUGCAUCGGAACGUACCUUUCAGUGGGGGAUAACGUAGCGAAAGUUACGCUAAUACCGCAUAUUCUGUGAGCAGGAAAGCAGGGGAUCGCAAGACCUUGCGCUGAUUGAGCGGCCGAUGUCAGAUUAGCUAGUUGGUGAGGUAAAGGCUCACCAAGGCGACGAUCUGUAGCGGGUCCGCGAGGAUGAGCCGCCACACUGUAACUGGGACACUGUCCAGCCUCCUACGGGAGGCAGCAGUGGGGAAUUUUGGUCAAUGGAGGCAACCCUGAUCCAGCCAUGCCGCGUGAGUGAAGAAGGCCUUCGGGUUGUAAAGCUCUUUCGGUCGGGAAGAAAUCGCAUGGGUUAAUACCCUGUGCGGAUGACGGUACCGGCAUAAGAAGCACCGGCUAACUACGUGCCAGCCGCCGCAGUAA